UACGGGGGGGGCAAGCGUUGUUCGGAAUUACUGGGCGUAAAGGGCUCGUAGGCGGCCAACUAAGUCAGACGUGAAAUCCCUCGGCUUAACCGGGGAACUGCAUCUGAUACUGGAUGGCUUGAGUUCGGGAGAGGGAUGCGGAAUUCCAGGUGUAGCGGUGAAAUGCGUAGAUAUCUGGAGGAAUACCAAUGGCGAAGGCAGCUCGCUGGGACGUUACUGACGCUGAGACGCGAAAGCGUGGGGAGCAAACAGG
RNAcentral lists this ribosomal RNA (253 nucleotides) under uncultured bacterium. RNAcentral's name for it is "partial 16S ribosomal RNA". It matches the Rfam family "Bacterial small subunit ribosomal RNA", at positions 524 to 776 of the family's 1533-position model. The record is from RNAcentral.